RNAcentral lists this ribosomal RNA (494 nucleotides) under uncultured bacterium. Its description in RNAcentral is "partial 16S ribosomal RNA". It matches the Rfam family "Bacterial small subunit ribosomal RNA", at positions 28 to 507 of the family's 1533-position model. The record is from RNAcentral.
GACGAACGCUGGCGGCGUGCUUAACACAUGCAAGUCGAACGGAAAGGCCUGCUUUCCCUUGUGGAUUGCGGGUACUCGAGUGGCGAACGGGUGAGUAACACGUGAGUGAUCUGCCCCCAACUUGGGUAUAAGCCUGGGAAACUGGGUCUAAUUCCCGACAGGACUGCAGGGUGGUGCCUGUGGUGGAAAACGAUUUUCUAGUGGUUGGGGAUGAGCUCGCGGCCUAUCAGCUUGUUGGUGGGGUAAUGGCCUACCAAGGCGGCGACGGGUAGCCGGCCUGGGGGGGUGGGCGGGCACAUGUGGACUGAGAUACUGCCCAGACUCCUACGGCAGGCAUCAGUGGGGAAUAUGGCACGAGGGGCGGAGGCCUGAGGCAGCGACGCCGCGGGGGGGAUGACGGCCUUCGGGUUGUAAACUCCUUUCGACAGCGAGGAAGCCACCUGGUUGGAAGGGUGGUGACGGUAGUGGGAGAAGAAGCACCGGCUAACUACGUG